UACGUAGGGGGCAAGUGUUGUCCGGAAUCAUUGGGCGUAAAGAGCGUGUAGGCGGCCCGAUAAGUCCGCUGUGAAAGUCCAGGGCUCAACCCUGGAAUGCCGGUGGAUACUGUCGGGCUCGAAUCCGGAAGAGGUGAGUGGAAUUCCUGGUGUAGCGGUGGAAUGCGCAGAUAUCAGGAAGAACACCAACGGCGAAGGCAGCUCGCUGGGACGGUACUGACGCUGAGACGCGAAAGCGUGGGGAGCGAACAGG
Molecule: ribosomal RNA, 253 nt
Filed under: uncultured bacterium
Lineage: Bacteria
Description: partial 16S ribosomal RNA
Rfam family: Bacterial small subunit ribosomal RNA
Source: RNAcentral